This 433-nucleotide long non-coding RNA is filed under the name Penaeus japonicus. Its description in RNAcentral is "uncharacterized LOC122260026". Lineage: Eukaryota; Metazoa; Arthropoda; Malacostraca; Decapoda; Penaeidae. The record is from RNAcentral.
GGAGUCUGUGAGGGGAAACUACAUCAAACUCCGCUGAGGGGAAUCGUUAACAAGAGUAGAAAAAUAAACAAAGACACAUGUAAAUAAAAGAAAAAAAAAACAUACGCAAGUCCAUCAGCUGACGGACAGCAAUCAGCUGAUUGGAUCGACGCCGGAGAGGAACAGAUGUUAUUCACGGCCAAAGCAUCAUCGACAAACACACUCUUUGGUGACUGAAGAUGGUGAAACGAAAGUCCUCCGAUGAAGAGUGGGAGAGGGAAGAGCUGGCCGUCCCUCUCCCUAUCCAGACAUUUUUAUGGCGUCAGAGCAGCCCCUUCAUCAGACCAAAACUAGGAAAGCUACACGAAGCAACAUGUAUGUUUUGCCAGAGUGCCCCAAGCCAUCACGUAAGUUAGGACAUUUUGACCCUGUGUGUAAAGGCAGUUUGACCCUU